AUACAGGGGGUGCAAGCGUUGUUCGGAAUUACUGGGCGUAAAGGGAGCGUAGGCGGAUCUACAAGACAGUGGUUAAAUCUCCGGGCUCAACCUGGAACUUGCCUUUGUGACUGUGGAUCUUGAGUAUGGUAGAGGUUGGCGGAAUUUCCGGUGUAGCGGUGGAAUGCGUAGAGAUCGGAAAGAACACCAGAGGCGAAGGCGGCCAACUGGACCAAUACUGACGCUGAGGUGCGAAAGUGCGGGGAGC
Molecule: ribosomal RNA, 247 nt
Filed under: uncultured bacterium
Lineage: Bacteria
Description: partial 16S ribosomal RNA
Rfam family: Bacterial small subunit ribosomal RNA
Source: RNAcentral